Molecule: ribosomal RNA, 484 nt
Filed under: uncultured bacterium
Lineage: Bacteria
Description: partial 16S ribosomal RNA
Rfam family: Bacterial small subunit ribosomal RNA
Source: RNAcentral
AUUGAACGCUAGCGGGAUGCUUUACACAUGCAAGUCGAACGGCAGCGCGGACUUCGGUCUGGCGGCGAGUGGCGAACGGGUGAGUAAUGUAUCGGAACGUGCCCAGUAGCGGGGGAUAACUACGCGAAAGCGUAGCUAAUACCGCAUACGCCCUACGGGGGAAAGCGGGGGAUCGUAAGACCUUGCACUAUUGGAGCGUCCGAUAUCGGAUUAGCUAGUUGGUGAGGUAACGGCUCACCAAGGCGACGAUCCGUAGCUGGUUUGAGAGGACGACCAGCCACACUGGGACUGAGACACGGCCCAGACUCCUACGGGAGGCAGCAGUGGGGAAUUUUGGACAAUGGGGGCAACCCUGAUCCAGCCAUCCCGCGUGUGCGAUGAAGGCCUUCGGGUUGUAAAGCACUUUUGGCAGGAAAGAAACGGCGCGGGCUAAUACCCCGUGGAACUGACGGUACCUGCAGAAUAAGCACCGGCUAACUACGUG